Molecule: unclassified non-coding RNA, 253 nt
Filed under: uncultured Cytophagales bacterium
Lineage: Bacteria; Pseudomonadati; Bacteroidota; Sphingobacteriia; Sphingobacteriales
Description: contains 16S-23S intergenic spacer region
Rfam family: Bacterial small subunit ribosomal RNA
Source: RNAcentral
UACGGAGGGUGCAAGCGUUGUCCGGAUUUAUUGGGUUUAAAGGGUGCGUAGGCGGGCAUGUAAGUCGGGGGUGAAAGUUUGCGGCUCAACCGUAAAAUUGCCAUUGAUACUGGAUGUCUUGAGUACAGUUGAGGUAGGCGGAAUUCAUGGUGUAGCGGUGAAAUGCAUAGAUACCAUGAAGAACACCUAUAGCGAAGGCAGCUUACUAAACUGUGACUGACGCUGAGGCACGAAAGCGGGGGGAGCGAACAGG